UAUUAUUAUGAAGCUUAACAUUGUAAGUAAAUAUUAAUUAUAAAAGCAAAAAAUUAUGGCGGUAUCUUAAGCUUUUCAGAGGAAUUUGCUCUUUAAUGGAUAAAACACCUAAACCUUACUUUGAUUAGUUAAAUCAAUUUGUAUACCACUAUGAAAAUAAUAAUAUACAAUUAUUAUUAAAAUAUAAUAUAUAUUUAUAAAAAAUUAAGUCAAGGUGCAGUAAAAAUCAAAGAAUGAAGUGAAUUACAUUUCUUUUUAGAAAAAAACAUGAAAUUAAAUUUAGGAUUUGAAAGUAAGAUUAAAAUAGUAUGUUAAUUUGAACUAAGCUCUAAGAUAUGUAC
Molecule: ribosomal RNA, 341 nt
Filed under: Dermacentor sp. Gu11
Lineage: Eukaryota; Metazoa; Arthropoda; Arachnida; Ixodida; Ixodidae
Description: partial 12S ribosomal RNA
Source: RNAcentral